Molecule: ribosomal RNA, 427 nt
Filed under: uncultured bacterium
Lineage: Bacteria
Description: partial 16S ribosomal RNA
Rfam family: Bacterial small subunit ribosomal RNA
Source: RNAcentral
UGGGGAAUAUUGCACAAUGGGCGCAAGCCUGAUGCAGCCAUGCCGCGUGUAUGAAGAAGGCCUUCGGGUUGUAAAGUACUUUCAGCGGGGAGGAAGGCGAUAAGGUUAAUAACCUUGUCGAUUGACGUUACCCGCAGAAGAAGCACCGGCUAACUCCGUGCCAGCAGCCGCGGUAAUACGGAGGGGGCAAGCGGUAAUCGGAAUUACUGGGCGUAAAGCGCACGCAGGCGGUCUGUCAAGUCGGAUGUGAAAUCCCCGGGCUCAACCUGGGAACUGCAUUCGAAACUGGCAGGCUAGAGUCUUGUAGAGGGGGGUAGAAUUCCAGGUGUAGCGGUGAAAUGCGUAGAGAUCUGGAGGAAUACCGGUGGCGAAGGCGGCCCCCUGGACAAAGACUGACGCUCAGGUGCGAAAGCGUGGGGAGCAAACA